This 595-nucleotide ribosomal RNA is filed under the name uncultured bacterium. RNAcentral describes it as "bacterial SSU rRNA". It matches the Rfam family "Bacterial small subunit ribosomal RNA", at positions 338 to 943 of the family's 1533-position model. The record is from RNAcentral.
CCUACGGGAGGCAGCAGUGGGGAAUAUUGGGCAAUGGAGGAAACUCUGACCCAGCGACGCCGCGUGCGGGAUGAAGGCCUUCGGGUUGUAAACCGCUUUCAGUAGGGAAGAAGCGAAAGUGACGGUACCUACAAAAGAAGCACCGGCUAACUAUGUGCCAGCAGCCGCGGUAAUACAUAGGGUGCAAGCGUUGUCCGGAAUUAUUGGGCGUAAAGAGCUCGUAGGUCGUUUGUUACGUCGGAUGUGAAAACCUGAGGCUCAACCUCAGGCCUACAUUCGAUACGGGCAAACUAGAGUUUGGUAGGGGAGACUGGAAUUCCUGGUGUAGCGGUGGAAUGCGCAGAUAUCAGGAGGAACACCAAUGGCGAAGGCAGGUCUCUGGGCCAAUACUGACACUGAGGAGCGAAAGUCUGGGGAGCGAACAGGAUUAGAUACCCUGGUAGUCCAGACCGUAAACGGUGGGCACUAGUUGUGGGAACCUUCCACGGUUUCUGCGACGCAGCUAACGCAUUAAGUGCCCCGCCUGGGGAGUACGAUCGCAAGNUUAAAACUCAAAGGAAUUGACGGCUGAAGNGNGCGAGCGACACGAGGAGAG